RNAcentral lists this small RNA (806 nucleotides) under Histoplasma capsulatum G186AR. RNAcentral describes it as "hypothetical RNA". The record is from RNAcentral. Lineage: Eukaryota; Fungi; Ascomycota; Eurotiomycetes; Onygenales; Ajellomycetaceae.
UGUCAGGGAUCAAGACGGGUUCCUGCCCUUCCUUCACUAGCGUUGCGUGUGUAUGAGGGGACGGUGUUUCAGACGGCAGAUUGCGAUAGAUAGAUAUGGGCAGUGAGAAACAAGAAGCAUGCAUGUGAACAUGACAUACAUAUAUAUUAAGGUUCAAAGGUUUUUUUAUUUGAAUUGCCUUUUUUUGUGUGUCCCACGAAGGGGAUGCAUUCUUAACUUUUUUUUUUUUUUUUUUUUCCCUAUUUCCAUUUAUUUUAUUUUAUUUUUUGCUAGCUGUUCUGGUUGUUCAUUUCAUUGUGGAGGAGGGCUCGCUCGAUUCAGCCCUACAAAGCAAACACGCGCAUCACAAUUAAACGGAUAAUAGUUACUCCGUACGGCUUAUUUCAAAUUCGGAGGUAGAUCCUUCGAAACCGGUUUUGGUUUUAGUUAGUUUACCAAAAAGCUUGACAACAACUAGCAUGGAAUUUUGGAAAGAGAAAAAGAAAAAAACAAGACAAGACAAAUACGAAAUGCGAAAAAAAAAAAAUUACGCCUAAGUCUGGACUCAAGCCACAAGGUAACAGAGGGAACAUAAUGUAUGUCGUCAAGUUGACUGGCCCGGCCCCGUGUGCUGUGGCUGUGUGCAUGCAGUCAUUUGUGUUUUUUUUGGUGUUCUGUUCUUGUACGAUACUUUUUUUCUUUCUUAUUUGUUGAUUUUUUCCCUUGUUAGGAAGGUGCAUAGCCAAUGAUAUCAUAAGGUUCUAUGAUUAUUUCCUGCAGGAGAUAAGGGAGAUAAGUUAGCUUCAACAAUGACAUUCGCUACCCCG